GGGAAUGAUGAUAGCUCAGUGGUAGAGCAUACGUCUUGGAAGCAGAAGGUCCCAGGUUCAAUUUCUGGCACUUCCU
This is a non-coding RNA of Podarcis lilfordi (Lilford's wall lizard), 76 nucleotides long. The record is from the annotation of a GenBank genome assembly. NCBI's taxonomy places the organism in Eukaryota, Metazoa, Chordata, Lepidosauria, Squamata, Lacertidae.